CAAUAAUUUUCAGUUACAUUAUCUGAACGAAAAAAGUGGUAUAAAAAUAUAAACAUGUAUUCAUAUUAAACCAAUCUGAAUGAGAAACACAUCUCACUGCUUGAUCACUACCUCACUGGAAAAUCUCCAGCCUCUCUAAUUUUCUGUGGUAAUUCACAGAAUGUGAGCAGACUGUCAAAAUCAACUUUCCUCUUUCGAUUUUAAGUAUCAUAUAUAUGUAAUAUAUAUAAAAAAACUACCUGUAUUUGCUGCUUUUAAAAUUUAAUCUAUUCUGUAAUCUUUCUUCAUUAUUUGUAGUUUAGAAUUAUGAGAGAAGCGCACGCUUGCUGAACAGGAAUAAUUAAGUAAAUAAGACAGCUGUGGAUUGUAUCAGGCAGCAAAAUGCUGCAGACUAACAGUCUUUAUCAUAUAUACGCAUAGCAUAAAUUAAAUAUUAUGUUGUGAUAAUGUAAUGAUUUUUGACCUAACUAAAAUCUUCAAAGAUAGAGUAAAUUAUUUGGAGACACAGUAAACAAAAGCCUAGAACACAAGUAUUCGCAGUGCUCACAUACGUGAGUCUUCUCAAGAGCAGCCCACAAGUCUUGAGCACACAGCAUGUGAUUGUGUGAGGACCAUUGGGGAGCUACUCAGGAUUGCAAAGAGGGAUAAAGGUUAAAGAAGAAUCCUCCCACAGCAGUUACACGAGAGCCAGAUUUUGCUUGGAAAGCUUUAUCUUUAACAUUUUGAACUGCAUGCAUAGUCAAGAGCUGGACAUACAUGGGUGAGACAUUCAGCAAAAUUGCACAUAACCCCUUUUUAUUAAAAA
Oxyura jamaicensis (ruddy duck) is the source of this 805-nucleotide long non-coding RNA. RefSeq lists it as uncharacterized. NCBI's taxonomy places the organism in Eukaryota, Metazoa, Chordata, Aves, Anseriformes, Anatidae. The transcript has 2 exons. The record is from RefSeq and is a predicted model, not a curated record.